AGCAAAGCGAAGAGUCACUCAAACGAUAGUUACAAAGUUGUGUUGGGAAGAUAGAAUAUUGGAAAUGGCGUCUUAUUGCAGUGCACGAACACACGUCAAUUGGUUCACCAAGCUGAGCUUAACAUUGCUACUUCUGUUGGUUUUGCGACAAAAUGGAACACAAGCACUGAAAUCGUUUGGUCCGUCCAUUAAUUGCGGCCCAAACAGCGUGUAUCAUGAAAGUUGCAAACAUGGCAGCUUCAUUAUAAACUUUAACCCUGAGUUCCGUCCUCCACGCACAUUAUGUCGGAAGGGUGUGGGGAAGUUUGCCACGAAUAUGGCGGCAGCAGUGAUUGUAAACAGGGCUUGUACUGCAACUGUUAUCACCGCUGUAGUGAAAAUCCCGAAAUCUGUCCAUUUUUCGGCAACGGUAUAUUGGAUUUGAAUACUAAGAAGUAGAUAACGCAAAUACAAAAUUGUGUUUAAGGCACUUUUCUAUGCAUAACUGUCUAGACGGCUCAGCAGCAUUAGUAUGUAUGCAGUAUUUAUACCUAUAGUUAGUUUAUACAAAAGUUAUAUUAAUAUUGUAAUAACAUUAGAUAUCUUAGAUUAUAAUAUAGUUUUACAUUCAU
Molecule: long non-coding RNA, 611 nt
Organism: Bactrocera neohumeralis
Lineage: Eukaryota; Metazoa; Arthropoda; Insecta; Diptera; Tephritidae
Exons: 3
Source: RefSeq, a predicted model, not a curated record